Molecule: long non-coding RNA, 2032 nt
Filed under: Gossypium barbadense (sea-island cotton)
Lineage: Eukaryota; Viridiplantae; Streptophyta; Magnoliopsida; Malvales; Malvaceae
Description: long non-coding RNA (GBAR_LNC017921)
Source: RNAcentral
UUUUUCCCAUGCACCAAUGUGAGAAGAAGAGAGAAAGAAAGAAAGUUUUGCUUUCUUUACAAUUUGGUCCUUUCACCAAAUACUCACCAUUUUCACUUAGAAAUCUAAAGAAUUUUCAUAUCUAUCAAGAGAGAAAGAUAACAAGGAGACUAUGGGGAGCUAAAAUAUCAAGCUAGAUUCAAGAAAUAGAAGCUGGAGGAGAGAGAAAAUCAAGUUAAAGUUUGAAACUAAUAGAACAAGGUAAGCACAUCAAGAUUUCAAUACAUUUUUAAGUUUGAUAUUAUUGAAAAAGCAUGGAAAUGAUGUUAUAGUAGAGUUUUAUUAUAUAAGGUCUUAUGUUCUUGAUAUAUUAGUGAAGUAAAAUAAGUGAAAGUGAUGGGAAAUAUUAUAGAGAAAGGGAAUAAGGGAGUUAUAAACUUAGUAAUCAACAUCUUGCACUAAAACAGUUUUGGACAGCAGCUGUAGGUUAACUUUGAAAAAUCACCAUAAAUUGUGGAAAUCGAAUUAGAGGAUGAAAAAAAUAUGGAAUUAAAUAUUAUUGAGUCUAGUUUCUCAUAGAAGAAACGGUGUAAGUAAUGAAAUUGUAAACCAUGAGAUAUAAUAAAUUUUGUGAGACAAGGUCAGAAUGAUUUCGGGUUCCCCUGUUCUGACUUUGUAAAAUCAUAAAAAAUUGGAGAAAAAUAAUUAGAGGCUUAAAUUUAUAUAUUUAAAUACUUAAAAAGUCUAUUUUCAAUAGAAAUAAACGGUAACAUCAUCCGAAUCCUGUACGAGGAUAUAAUUAAUUUUUAGUGAAGAAGAGUCGAAACUGUAAGACAGCAGAACAGGGAUGAAUUUAAAGAAUAAACUGUACUUAUUGGCUAAAUAAAAAAUUCUGAAAAUUUUAUGGUAAUAAUAUAUGUGAGUCUAGUUUCAGAUAAAAUUAAUGGAUCUCAAUUCGGAGUUCUUUAGCUUAAGAUAUAAUUAAUUUAGUGACCAUGACUCAAGUGAACAGCUUGUUAUGAGUAAACAAGUAAAUAAUGGUAUAGUAUAUACCAAGGAUGUGGAAUGGAGAGGAGGAGGAGGAAAAAUAUAUGUGAAUAUUCAGCUAAUAUGAUAUUAUUUUAAAAAUAGCUAAUUUACAUGUUUUAAGUUUAGGGACUAAAUUGAACAAAUGUGAAACUUUAAGGAUAAAUUUAUAAAAAUAUCAAAAAGUGACUAAAUUACAUGAAAUGAAUUGUUUUAUUAUUUAAAUUAAUAAAUUGAAUGAAAUAUUAAUUUAGAUCAAGAUUGGGUGAAAAUUUGAGGAAAAUAGAAAAUUACCAAAAUGUCCCUAAAUUUUGGUAUUUCUACAAUUUAGCCUGGUAAGUUCGUAUGAACUAUAUUCUGUAUAAUUUUAAUUAAAGUGAAUAUUAUUUGGUGAUGAAUAUUAUAUAAAUAUGUGUUUUAUUAUUGGAAUUGAAUUAUUAUUGGUAAUAUGUAUAAUUAUUAGAUGCAUUGAAAUGAUUAUCGAAAGCUCGAUUGGGUUGGGGGCUUGUUGGAGAUAUAUCACACUAUCCAUUGAUUCUAUCGGUAAUUUUGGAUGAUUUGAUUCUGGUAAUAAUGGCAUGUAUAAGUUAAAUUGGCCAACGUUAGCUCAUUAAUGUUUUGAUUUUGAUUGGUUAUAGUGCUUGAUGAAAUGAAUCGUCUGUAAAUUAAUUUGUAAACUCUGGUAAUGCUCUAUAACCCUAUUUUGGCGAUGGAUACGGGUUAGGGGUGUUACAUGAUGGCAAAUUAUACUCCAAUCACCAACGCGCACUACCUCCAUAACGACUGACCCAUCAAUUGAUAAACUGAGCUGUAAUGUCAUAUCCUCGAGUGUAAUCACACUUACCACUCGGAAGAUGAAAUGUAUGUGUCUUGAGUCUCCAUCUUUCCAACAAAACACUGAUAAGUGCGGGCUCUCACACAUACGAGACACAUUCAAGAGUCCUGGCUCUUCCAAGUGUUGUUCAAUAACAUGCGGCGCUCUCACACUUAAAUUGUGUAUAUAUGUUUUGAUAAUCUAAUCUUCGUC